UCCGUCAAUUGGGUAGGCUGCUCGGUUCUCACCGCGCAGUUAGACGCAACCCUGACGCAACCCUUAUUGGAAUUGGAAAAUGGUGAUUUCUUCAUCAUGUCACUUUCCUCUAUGGAACUGUUGAGUUUAAUUGUUUUCGUACAGUUUAAAAAGCGAAACAAUGUAUGUCAGGGAGCCUACCCCCAUUUUAAAUUUUCAACUUAAACAUAAAUAUCUCUCUACAGGAAUUGACUGUUAUUAAAAUUGCUGCAAGGUUU
Molecule: non-coding RNA, 257 nt
Filed under: Polistes metricus
Lineage: Eukaryota; Metazoa; Arthropoda; Insecta; Hymenoptera; Vespidae
Source: RNAcentral